This 1154-nucleotide long non-coding RNA is filed under the name Bemisia tabaci. Its description in RNAcentral is "lncRNA ENSSWEETPG002565". Lineage: Eukaryota; Metazoa; Arthropoda; Insecta; Hemiptera; Aleyrodidae. The record is from RNAcentral.
AAUAUGAGUGCAAAUUUCAAACACUGCAAAUGAGAUCUGUAUUGUUUUGGCUGUUUCACCAUUCAUGUGUGGUGAAUCAUUCCUCUUUAUGCCUUAUGAACAUGGAAGUGUGAAUUCUGAGCAAUUGAAUAAUUGCUUUUCAGCAUCCAAAAUGAUGAGAAUUUUCCACCAAUUAUGAAGGCUAAAUUGAACCGCGUUUAUCAGAAAGGAACGAAGCCACAUCAGCUAUUGCAAUUUAAGUGGACAAUUCAAUUUUUUACAAGAGAGCGUUUUCUGCAGAUUCUUUUGAAAUUUUGAGGUAUUGUUUCGUACUAUGCAGAAAAUUCACUGAAAUUUGCACAAAAAUCCGCUCAACCGUUUUCAUGUAAAAAAUUAAAUUGCCCGAUUCAAUUUUUGCAAUAGCUGAUGUGGCUUGGUUCCUUUCCGCUUAACGCGAUCCCAAUUGUGAAAUUGAUGCUCUGAGGCUCUGCUAUUUUCAGCGAUACGUGAAAUUUCAGUUCUGAUUUUAGAGAUACACAGAUAGUGCGAUAUUACAUUUACUCUGUAAUUUUCUUUAACUUUCCUGGUUGAGGACGUGAUCAUUAAUUUGUUUUGAAACAUCGAAAACGCCAGUAGUGUGUCUUUUAUUUGAGUGUUCACAUUUGUAUUUGGCGUUAUUAUAAUCGGAGCAAAAGUUUGCUUGUGUGAAUGAGCAUGAGGAAAAAAGUUGAACUAACAUUCAUUCUGACGACACUGACAUUGGGAUGUUUAGACGGACGAGCUUCCUGGCCUUUCUCCUACACCUUCCCAUCUCUCGACAGCAUGGUAGCCAGUGCUCUGGGGGUCCGGCAACAAAUAGAAGAAUUUGGACUAGGAGCUACUUACCCUCUCGCCUACCUGCCAACCGACAAACUCAUCGAGCAUUGGGGGUUCAAAGCAGAGACUCACUACGUCACAACAGAAGACGGGUAUAUCUUAGGAGUGCAUCGAAUUGCAAACCCAUACACAAUGUAUCCACCCGUUUACUUCCAGCAUGGACUUCUUGCUUCCUCUGAUCUGUGGCUAAUGCGUGGACCGGAGAAGAAUUAGGUAAGUAAAAAGAGUCAUUAGUUUAUUUUAAGGUUAUUUUUUUACCCAAAAAAAAAAAAAAACAUUUUCUCAUUUCUGCAAUUGAA